UACGGGGGGGGCGAGCGUUGUCCGAAGUUACUGGGCGUAAAGCGCGUGUAGGCGGGUUGUUAAGUCCGCUGUGAAAGCCCGGUGCUCAACGCCGAAGGGUCGGUGGAUACUGGCAGUCUUGAAGUGGCUAGGGGGAAAUGGAAUUACCGGUGUAGCGGUGAAAUGCGUAGAUAUCGGUAGGAACACCAGUGGCGAAGGCGGUUUCCUGGAGCUAACUUGACGCUGAGACGCGAAAGCUGGGGGAGCAAACGGG
RNAcentral lists this ribosomal RNA (253 nucleotides) under uncultured bacterium. RNAcentral describes it as "partial 16S ribosomal RNA". It matches the Rfam family "Bacterial small subunit ribosomal RNA", at positions 524 to 776 of the family's 1533-position model. The record is from RNAcentral.